GACGAACGCUGGCGGCGUGCUUAACACAUGCAAGUCGAGCGGUAAGGCCCUUUCGGGGUACGACGAGCGGCGAACGGGUGAGUAACACGUGGGUGACCUGCCUUCAGCUCUGGGAUAAGCCUGGGAAACUGGGUCUAAUACCGGAUAUGACUCCAUGAUGCAUGUUGUGGGGUGGAAAGCUUUUGCGGCUGGAGAUGGGCCCGCGGCCUAUCAGCUUGUUGGGUGGGGUGAGGCCUACCAAGGCGACGACGGGUAGCCGGCCUGAGAGGGCGACCGGCCACACUGGGACUGAGACACGGCCCAGACUCCUACGGGAGGCAGCAGUGGGGAAUCUUGCGCAAUGGGCGAAAGCCUGACGCAGCGACGCCGCGUGAGGGAUGACGG
This 384-nucleotide ribosomal RNA is filed under the name uncultured bacterium. RNAcentral describes it as "bacterial SSU rRNA". It matches the Rfam family "Bacterial small subunit ribosomal RNA", at positions 28 to 414 of the family's 1533-position model. The record is from RNAcentral.